UGGUUAAAUGACAAUAUUAAAAUAGAUGGAAAACCAAUUAAUUAUAAACAUUAUUCAAGCAAAGGGAUUACUUAUAUAAACGACAAGUUUGACGCCCAAGGU
Haliotis rubra (blacklip abalone) is the source of this 102-nucleotide long non-coding RNA. RefSeq lists it as uncharacterized. Lineage: Eukaryota; Metazoa; Mollusca; Gastropoda; Lepetellida; Haliotidae. The transcript is spliced from 3 exons. The record is from RefSeq and is a predicted model, not a curated record.